RNAcentral lists this transfer RNA (69 nucleotides) under bovine gut metagenome. It matches the Rfam family "tRNA". From Rfam's summary of the family: Transfer RNA (tRNA) molecules are approximately 80 nucleotides in length. The record is from RNAcentral.
CGGAAGUAGCUCAGUCGGUAGAGCUCCAGAUUGUGGAUCUGGCUGUCGCGGGUUCGAGUCCCGUCUUCC